UACGGGGGGAGCAAGCGUUGUUCGGAAUUACUGGGCGUAAAGGGCGCGUAGGCGGCCUUCUAAGUCAGACGUGAAAUCCCCCGGCUUAACCUGGGAACUGCGUCUGAUACUGGGAGGCUUGAGUAUGGGAGAGGGAUGUAGAAUUCCAGGUGUAGCGGUGAAAUGCGUAGAUAUCUGGAGGAAUACCGGUGGCGAAGGCGGCAUCCUGGACCAUUACUGACGCUGAGGCGCGAAAGCUAGGGGAGCAAACAGG
This 253-nucleotide ribosomal RNA is filed under the name uncultured bacterium. Its description in RNAcentral is "partial 16S ribosomal RNA". It matches the Rfam family "Bacterial small subunit ribosomal RNA", at positions 524 to 776 of the family's 1533-position model. The record is from RNAcentral.